This 527-nucleotide ribosomal RNA is filed under the name uncultured bacterium. Its description in RNAcentral is "bacterial SSU rRNA". It matches the Rfam family "Bacterial small subunit ribosomal RNA", at positions 984 to 1509 of the family's 1533-position model. The record is from RNAcentral.
ACAUCCAGAGAACUUGGCAGAGAUGCCUUGGUGCCUUCGGGACCUCUGAGACAGGUGCUGCAUGGCUGUCGUCAGCUCGUGUUGUGAAAUUGUUGGGUUUAAGUCCCGNAACGAGCGCAACCCCUAUCCUUUGUUGCCAGCGAUUCGGUCGGGAACUCAAAGGAGACUGCCGGUGAUAAACCGGAGGAAGGUGGGGAUGACGUCAAGUCAUCAUGGCCCUUACGAGUAGGGCUACACACGUGCUACAAUGGCGCAUACAAAGAGAAGCGACCUCGCGAGAGCAAGCGGACCUCAUAAAGUGCGUCGUAGUCCGGAUCGGAGUCUGCAACUCGACUCCGUGAAGUCGGAAUCGCUAGUAAUCGUAGAUCAGAAUGCUACGGUGAAUACGUUCCCGGGCCUUGUACACACCGCCCGUCACACCAUGGGAGUGGGUUGCAAAAGAAGUAGAUAGCUUAACCUUCGGGAGGGCGUUUACCACUUUGUGAUUCAUGACUGGGGUGAAGUCGUAACAAGGUAAGCGUAGCGAG